AACUUAAUAAAUUUUUCUUAGUUUGUAUAUAUUUAUUUAUGUUGUAUUUUUUUAAAAUAAAUCACUAUUACAAAAAUAUUAAAAAUGACCCUAAAAAAAAAUGAAGGGCUUACUUAUACCCUAUUUACAAAAAUUAGCAGCAGAUGUUGUGAAGAAAAAGAUUGAAGAUGCAAUUAUGAUGAAGCUAGAUGUGGCAUCCUUCUCUUCCACUUCCAACAUAAUUCGUCUUGCAGAUUUUGGUUGUGGAGUUGGAUCAAAUACAAUAACUGCUAUGCAUGAUUUACUAGAGUUUGUAAAGAAAAAGUAUAUGUCUCAGUGUCCUGCAUCUCAAAUGCCUGAAUUUCAAGUGAUUUUCAAUGAUCAAUCCACCAAUGAUUUUAACACCCUCUUUACCUCUCUCCCGCAAGACAAGGAAAACAUGGUAGUUGGGGUGCUAGGUUCUUUCCAUGACCAAGUGCUACCCAAGUCAUCUCUCCAUUUAGCCCAUUGUUCGUAUUCACUGCAUUGGCUCUCUAAGUUGCCAAAGGAAUUGCAAGACAAGCACUGUCCUACAUGGAUACAAAAACAUAAUUAACUUAAAAAAGGAUUGAACCAAAGCAAAAGAAAUGGUAGUCCAAAAUUAGACUUUGUUCUGUAAUUGGUAGACAUGCAUUCAGAUUAAUUAAAGGUUCAAGAAAAGAAAGAAUACUAUGAAUUUGUCAAAACCUUGCAAAAAUUCUAUAGAAACAUAAUCAAUGUUGAAACAUAGUUGAUAGUACUAAACACAACCAGUACUUAGAAAAUACAAAAGCAUUUUCUCAAAAAAAGAUACAAUAGCAAAUGGAUACUUAAAUUCCUCGCACACCUUUACGUGAAUAAAGAAAAAGCAAACAAACUUAGGACCUUUAAAAUCGAUGGUUUCUUGAUUUAUAGAUGUUGAUCAAGUUGAUCAAGCUGAUGAUGGCCUUACUAUAAUACUAAAGUUGUUCUCACCAUCUUCUCUGUAAAGAGUGAUCACAGCGUGGAUAUUAGGUGCAGCAAAAUUCCUCCACUGAUUCUCGGAGAUGGGAACAAUGGAAUUAAAAAACAAUGGAUAAUGUCAUCAAAAGCCUGACAUAUUAUAGUAAUAGUUGAACCCUAUAUGUGUAAUGAAUUCAUCAAGAAAUCCUCUGCCUUUACAAGUCUAAGAGGCCACAAAACAUUUGCAAAGAAUCUUCUCUCUGUUUUGUAGCAGAACGUGGGGAGACCAAUGGGGAUUUGCCCAACUAAUUUUCAUUGACCGUUUCUUUUUCAAUGAUGAAGAAAACCCAAAAAGUAAAAAGUAAACAACAGAAAAAAACUAAAAAUAAUGGUGAAGGAUCAAAAGAUGAACGAUGGCAAAAACCCAAAAAAACUUACUAGUCACUUGAUGAAAGAAGGCCCAGAAAGUGUAGGAUCAAGGAUGGAAACAACUUGGACUUGCUAAAGAUAAAGCCAGAAAUCAGAAACCAAAAAGGGCAGUUGGCAGAAACUAGAUAGAGCGAGAGUGGAGACUAGACGGCAGUCGGUAAAAACCAGAAAAGGCGAGAGUUGAGACGGGACGACAAUUGGUAAAAACCAGAAAGAGCGAGAGUGGAGACGGGAUGGCGGUCAGACGGUAGUCGGCAGAAACCAGAAAAGGCGUUAGUGGAGACGAGAGUCACGGGACGGCAGUCGACACUUGGCAAAAAUCAGAAAGGGGAAUUGAGAUAUUCAUAUUUAGGUUUAGGAAUUUUUGACGUAAAAUCUUCAAAAUAUCCUUAUUUAAGUUCGAUUAGUUCAGUUAAAUAUUUUUUAA
This 1795-nucleotide long non-coding RNA is filed under the name Theobroma cacao (cacao). RNAcentral's name for it is "long non-coding RNA (TCAC_LNC002646)". The record is from RNAcentral. Lineage: Eukaryota; Viridiplantae; Streptophyta; Magnoliopsida; Malvales; Malvaceae.